UAAUAUUCUCGGUAGGUGAGGUUACCAUAGGGAUACGGAUUGCUGCCGCAAAAUAAUGGAGACAUUAUUAGUUGGUUAGCAGGAUACGUCGAAAAAUAAGGCGUAUUUUAAUGCAAUUUCAUUGCCCUACGAAGCUGAAGCUUGAACGAGCAGAUAAUAAGA
Molecule: non-coding RNA, 162 nt
Organism: Clostridium botulinum B
Lineage: Bacteria; Bacillati; Bacillota; Clostridia; Eubacteriales; Clostridiaceae
Source: Rfam